GCCUGUGUGGACCCUCUGUAGGUGCAGGUCACUGCAGCUGGUGCCCAAACAGGGACUGAAGGUGGGUACAGUGAGGACCCCAGAGAAGAAACCGGUGUCAAGAUUCCGGAGCUGAGUGGUUCUCAACCCGACUUCUGAAACGGAGAGAUGGCUAAGAAGUCCCGCACUCAGAAGUUUUUGCAAGAGUUUUUUUGGCUAUACUAGCACUGCUGUCUGUUCAGGUAAAUGUUGCAGCAGGAAAAACUUAUUGGGCGUAUGUGCCUGAUCCCCCCUUUUUAAGACCUUUAACAUGGGAAGAUCCUCCUGUACAUGUGUUCAUAAAUGAUACCCGUAUCUUUUUCUUAUAAGGGGAGAUCUUUAUGCCCACCAUUAUGUUUUUCUAAACGAAAUCCUGUUGGAACUUUAUAUUUAGAAAUAAAAAAGGGAAAGGUGUUUACAGAAGGUUUGGAUGAACAUUGGUUACAAAAACAAUAUACAUUGGAAAUAGAAGGGCCUUCUGAUUUUGAUGGGUUUAUUGACAGUCAUGUGCAUCCUCCUGAUAUUCCUGUUUGCAAGGCUUUUUCUACUGAUAUUCGACCAUUUGUAAAACACCCUUUUUGGCUUAAUUGUCAUCAUGAACUUCCAGCAGCUCAUCUUCUAGUUGAACCUGAACACAUGAUCAUCGACUGGAGAACUGUUAAUCCUAAAGGAAAGGACGAGAUGGAAAAGAUGCAUUUUGCCGGAUGAUGGGUGCCGAGAAUUUUAACCAGUGAUCAAGGAGGGUCUCAACCUACUGUGUGGAAACUUAGGGCUGCACUGGGAACUUUAAAAUAUACACAUGGAAGAGAGACUGAAAUCUUUACCAUUGUAGCUUGUGUUCCUCCUCCAUAUGUAAUGUUGGUGGGUUUUAUAACUAUUAAACAAUUGUGGGACGAUCAAAAGAGUCAUGAAGGAUAUGAAAUUAGCUGAACAAAUUGUAAACUAACAAAUUGUAUUUCUUAUAAGGAUGUGCAUUAUGAUAUUGUCAUAUUACACCAACCUGCUUUUGUAAUGUUGCCUGUGGAUGUGACUGGAAGUUGGUGUCAGCAUUCUGGCCUGGAAGUUUUAAAACAGCUGCAUGGAUUAAUGAACAGACCCAAAAGGUUCAUAGGAAAGUUGAUAGCAGGAAUAGUAGCAGUGGUGGCUUUAGUGGCCACAGCUACCACUGCCACUAUUGCUUUGACACAGGAAAUCCAUACAGCACAAUAUGUAGCUGCGUUGGCUAAGAAUGUUAGCAUAGUUUGGAGAGCUCAAGAAAGAAUAGACAGGAAACGGAACAAAGAUGAGGUGUGCUGGAACAAACAUUACUGUUGGUAGUGAUGAAGGAGCCAGAUGGAAAGUUAUAGCUGGCCUACAGUGUCACGCGGAAUUUGAUCAUAUUUGUGUUACUCCAAAAGUCUACAGUUCAUCUGAUUGGGAUUGGGAAAGAAUUAGGAUGCACUUACUUGGUAUUUGGCAUCAUUCUAAUAUGUCUUUGGAUAUUGCAAAAUUGCAUAAAGAAAUAAUGGCUAUAUCUAGUGCUCAGGAACCUUUAUUAUCACUCUCUCAAGUAGCGGGAGACAUUUUUGACACCUUGAAAGGGUGGUUUUGUCAUUUUCGCAGUCUAAAUAUGUUUGUUAGUGCUGCCAUGAUAUUUGGAUUAAUUUGUCUUAUUCUUUGUUUUCUACCAGUCGGCAUCCGAGCCUUUGGAGCCUCAAUAAGAGCCUUGCAAUCUUCUGUACAUGAACUCCAUUUAAAAAACAACGAAGAGGGAGAUGUUGGGGACCAUCGUUUUACAGGCAAAGUCUGAGCGGUGGAGAGGACACGGCACAGCCCUGAACUCUACCCUUCAUUACCUCUGGCAUAUUGAUAGUUAAGGAGUUCAUAUCAAGUCUAUUGAGUUUGUUUUGUAGAGAACAACCUGUGCAGAGAGUUCUGGUAGAUAAGAAAGGAACGUUUUUGUUACAGAAUGUUUUUGAGUCAUUCUUAGAUUAGAAAAGUAACGGAACACCUUAGUCAGCUUGAACAAACACUUAGGUUUACUGUACCCUGCUUCCUGAUACUGAUGGUAUAGGUAUCUGCUGGCUAACAAAUAAAUUUGCUGGUUGCUGCAUUUGCACCAGUCCUCCU
Long non-coding RNA from Echinops telfairi (small Madagascar hedgehog), 2127 nucleotides. RefSeq lists it as uncharacterized. NCBI's taxonomy places the organism in Eukaryota, Metazoa, Chordata, Mammalia, Afrosoricida, Tenrecidae. The transcript is spliced from 2 exons. The record is from RefSeq and is a predicted model, not a curated record.